This 71-nucleotide transfer RNA is filed under the name Stegodyphus mimosarum. It matches the Rfam family "tRNA". Rfam says of the family: Transfer RNA (tRNA) molecules are approximately 80 nucleotides in length. Their secondary structure includes four short double-helical elements and three loops (D, anti-codon, and T loops). The record is from Rfam by way of RNAcentral. Lineage: Eukaryota; Metazoa; Arthropoda; Arachnida; Araneae; Eresidae.
GCCUUCGUGGUGUAAAGGUAACACACUCGGCCCGUAUUCGAAAGGUCCAGGUUCGAGUGCCGGCGAGAGCA